CCCAGACUCCUACGGGAGGCAGCAGUGGGGGAUAUUGCACAAUGGGGGGAACCCUGAUGCAGCGACGCCGCGUGGGUGAAGGAGUAUUUCGGUAUGUAAAGCCCUAUCGGCAGGGAAGAAGCAAGACGGUACCCGACUAAGAAGCCCCGGCUAACUACGUGCCAGCAGCCGCGGUAAUACGUAGGGGGCGAGCGUUAUCCGGAUUCACUGGGUGUAAAGGGAGCGUAGACGGCCAAGCAAGCCAGGGGUGAAAGCCCGGGGCCCAACCCCGGGACUGCCCUUGGAACUGCUUGGCUGGAGUGCGGGAGGGGCAGGCGGAAUUCCUGGUGUAGCGGUGAAAUGCGUAGAUAUCAGGAGGAACACCGGUGGCGAAGGCGGCCUGCUGGACUGCGACUGACGUUGAGGCCCGAAAGCGUGGGGAGCAAACAGGAUUAGAUACCCCCGUAC
Molecule: ribosomal RNA, 447 nt
Filed under: uncultured bacterium
Lineage: Bacteria
Description: partial 16S ribosomal RNA
Rfam family: Bacterial small subunit ribosomal RNA
Source: RNAcentral